CCCUUAGAUGUUCUGGGCCGCACGCGUGCUACACUGAGUGGAUCAGCGGGUCAGGUUGCGCGAAAGUGUUUCCUAAUCUUGAAAUCCGCUCGUGAUGGGGAUUGACGGUUGCAAUUUUCUGUCAUGAACGAGGAAUACCUUGUAAGCGCGGGUCAUCAUCCCGCGCUGAAUACGUCCCUGCCCUUUGUACACACCGCCCGUCGCUCCUACCGAUUGAGUGGUCCGGUGAGGCUUUGGGGUCUGGAUGGAAAGAGCGUUUCGCUGUUUCUGCCCGGAAAACUCAGUCGAACCUUAUCAUUUAGAGGAAGGAGAAGUCGUAACA
RNAcentral lists this ribosomal RNA (322 nucleotides) under uncultured eukaryote. Its description in RNAcentral is "partial 18S ribosomal RNA". It matches the Rfam family "Eukaryotic small subunit ribosomal RNA", at positions 1470 to 1796 of the family's 1831-position model. The record is from RNAcentral.